This 253-nucleotide ribosomal RNA is filed under the name uncultured bacterium. RNAcentral's name for it is "partial 16S ribosomal RNA". It matches the Rfam family "Bacterial small subunit ribosomal RNA", at positions 524 to 776 of the family's 1533-position model. The record is from RNAcentral.
UACGAAGGGGGCUAGCGUUGCUCGGAAUCACUGGGCGUAAAGGGUGCGUAGGCGGGUCCUUAAGUCAGGGGUGAAAUCCUGGAGCUCAACUCCAGAACUGCCUUUGAUACUGAGGAUCUUGAGUUCGGGAGAGGUGAGUAGAACUGCGAGUGUAGAGGUGAAAUUCGUAGAUAUUCGCAAGAACACCAGUGGCGAAGGCGGCUCACUGGCCCGAUACUGACGCUGAGGCACGAAAGCGUGGGGAGCAAACAGG